Molecule: long non-coding RNA, 1287 nt
Organism: Passer domesticus (house sparrow)
Lineage: Eukaryota; Metazoa; Chordata; Aves; Passeriformes; Passeridae
Exons: 4
Source: RefSeq, a predicted model, not a curated record
GGGUCAGAGAGUCACAAAAUCCUGAGCAGGUAGAGGAGAACUUGGGGAAACUUCUUAAAAUCUGCCCCAGGAGAGAGACAGCAAGAACAGAGCAGUAGUCACUGAGAGCUCCUGGACAUCUCCUGCCAAUGUUGCCAAGAGCAGGCUCUGAAAAUGCCACUGCCAGGGGGGUCUCUCUGAGCCUCACCCCAAAAAAUCCUCCACAACACAAAGAGAAAGCUGGAAAAGGAAACUGCUGUGAUUUCUUCACUUCUAAGCAAGGCACAGGUGCAUAAAGUUGUUAUUUACUGGGAAUAAAAGCUCGCCCCUGACUAAUUCUUGAGGAGGUGAGAGGGACCAUGGGCAGAAGUGGCUCACAGGGAAAAUCUCGUGGGAGUAAAUGUAAAGGACAAGACCAAUGUGUCACCAUUAUCAUAUAACUGCCAUGAAGUGGAACCAUCCAAAUUACUUCAGGCAAAACCUGGAGAUGUGACAUCAGCUUUGUCACCUGCUUAAUCUGAGACAGAGCAGGUGGAGGUGAGACCAAGGUCAUCAUUUAUCUUAACAAGGGAACUCUGAGCUGAGCUGCACAAACACAUAACCCCCUCUCUGCCUCUCUGGCAGCUCUUGAGAGGCAGCUCUGCCAGCACUGAAGCUCAUGUGUCAGUGGAGGAACACUGUUAUCUUCUUAUCAGGAGAUGACAACCACAAAUACCUCGGCCUGAAAGACUGCUCUGCUAUCACCAGGGGCACAACUUCCACAGGGACUUUUCAGUGUCAACAGACUUUGGACUGUGAUGUCUUUGAGAGAGACAAUUGUCUUUUUGCUGUGUUUGUGUAUCUCCAGUGGUCCCAGCCAGCCCAGGGUCCUGCUGGAGUCACACAGGAGGUGUUCUUUGGAGGAUCGUGGAAAGUCAAGGAGGUAUUCCCCAUUUUGGUCUCUCUGGUGAUUUUUAGCAAACAGCUGCAGCAUGAGCCUGGUGAAACCAUCCCAGGGAAGGUAGAACAGGCUGCAGAGCAUCCAGAUCAGAUAUAUGUGCAGCUGGAUCUGCCUCGUAGAGUGGUGACAACAAGCAGUAAAAUAUGAACACCAUCGCAGUAAUAAUAUCAUUAUAAAAUGCAUUCAUCUCCAGGGCUGUCACUGCACUGGAGGGCCUGGCUCCAGCAGAUUCCAGCCCAGCCUGGCUCCAGGGGCAGGGAUCCUCUGAUCUCCAGGAGCUGGCUGCACAGGGGUCUUGGUGACUCAUGAUGGACCAUGAGACAAAAGGCACCUGUUCUGUGUGAGCUGUAUGUAAAAUAAAUGAAGCA